RNAcentral lists this ribosomal RNA (327 nucleotides) under uncultured eukaryote. RNAcentral's name for it is "partial 18S ribosomal RNA". It matches the Rfam family "Eukaryotic small subunit ribosomal RNA", at positions 1470 to 1796 of the family's 1831-position model. The record is from RNAcentral.
CCCUUAGAUGUUCUGGGCCGCACACGCGCUACACUGAAGGAGGCAGCGUGUACUCCGGGAUCGAAAGAUUUGGGUAACCCGCGAAUCUCCUUCGUGCUAGGGAUUGAGGUUUGCAAUUAUCCUUCAUGAACGAGGAAUUCCCAGUAAGUGCAAGUCAUAAGCUUGCGCUGACUACGUCCCUGCCCUUUGUACACACCGCCCGUCGCUACUACCGAUUGAAUGAUUUAGUGAGGACUUCGGACUGGGACCGAUGCGGCUUUCGGGCUGCGUCGGUAUUCUGGAAAGAUGUCCAAACUGUAUCAUUUAGAGGAAGUAAAAGUCGUAACA